GACUAGCUCGGAUUGUCAACCAACUAGCCACAACAGUUUGUGCAUUUUUUGUUUGCAACUUUUUCUGGCGUACACGAUGUUCCAGUGAAGUCGUGAGUCAAGAUGUUUUCCCAGAUAUUUCGCUCAAUCAUAUUGCGGCUUUUACUAACACCUGAAUUAGAAUCCAACUUCUCAUUUUUCUUCGUAUUGUAUUCGAUAUUUUUAUUAGGAUCAUUAAUAUUACUCACUUGGAAAUGUAAUAAUUCACUCUGUAGUAUUGCUUUGCUCAAAUGUAAUUGGGUUACAAACUUAGUUAAGUUUUUCGUUGUCUUGUUGUAUUUGUAGUAUAAAUGCAUGGUCAACUAAAACCUGAACCGUCACAGACAUUCCGAAAGACGAUCCAAGCCCCAACACGCGUGUGUCAAAGGCGAAGACAUAUUCAUAGUUAGUAUAUUACUAAACGAACGCGUAUAUUCAAAAUUCGAGAGCGGAACAUACAUGUUGCUCGUUCGAUAAACAAAACGCGACUAUACAAAUGACAUGUACACAAUUUAUCUUGUAUUG
Cinara cedri is the source of this 543-nucleotide non-coding RNA. The record is from the annotation of a GenBank genome assembly. Lineage: Eukaryota; Metazoa; Arthropoda; Insecta; Hemiptera; Aphididae.